CAGUCGCCGCGGGAAUACGAAGGGGGCUAGCGUUGCUCGGAAUUACUGGGCGUAAAGGGAGCGUAGGCGGAUGUUUAAGUCAGAGGUGAAAGCCCAGGGCUCAACCUUGGAACUGCCUUUGAUACUGGACAUCUUGAGUGUGGGAGAGGUAAGCGGAACUCCGAGUGUAGAGGUGAAAUUCGUAGAUAUUCGGAAGAACACCAGUGGCGAAGGCGGCUUACUGGCCCAUUACUGACGCUGAGGCUCGAAAGCGUGGGGAGCAAACAGGAUUAGAUACCCCCGUAGUCCCUGUCUCUUAUAA
Molecule: ribosomal RNA, 301 nt
Filed under: uncultured bacterium
Lineage: Bacteria
Description: partial 16S ribosomal RNA
Rfam family: Bacterial small subunit ribosomal RNA
Source: RNAcentral